Molecule: ribosomal RNA, 530 nt
Filed under: uncultured bacterium
Lineage: Bacteria
Description: bacterial SSU rRNA
Rfam family: Bacterial small subunit ribosomal RNA
Source: RNAcentral
CUUGAUUCAGGACGAACGGCUGGCGGCGUGCCUAAUACAUGCAAGUCGAACGGCUUUUCUAUGGAAGCUUGCUCCACUGAGAAGAUAGUGGCGAACGGGGUGAGGUAACAACGUGGGGUAACCUGCCCAUAAGAGGGGGGAUAACAUCCGGAAACGGGUGCUAAUACCGCAUAGUUUUCUUGAUCGCAUGAUCGGGAAAGGAAAGACGGCCUUUGUGCUGUCGCUUAUGGAUGGACCCGCGGCGUAUUAGUUGGUGAGGUAACGGCUCACCAAGACGAUGAUACGUAGCCGACCUGAGAGGGUGAUCGGCCACAUUGGGACUGAGACACGGCCCAAACUCCUACGGGAGGCAGCAGUAGGGAAUCUUCCGCAAUGGACGAAAAUCUGACGGAGCAACGCCGCGUGAGUGAAGAAAAGGUUUUCGGAUCGUAAAACUCUGUUGUCAGAGAAGAACAAGUUGGAGAGUAACUCGCUCCAGCCUUGACGGUAUCUGACCAGAAAGCCACGGCUAACUACGUGCCAGCCGCAGC